CCAGGAAAAUGUCGCAAAUGUCGAAACUCCCAAGCGGUAUAAAAAUGUCCCGCCUUCGGAAACCUCGUGCAUUUUGAACGACACCCCAUUCACAACGCCAGAUUAGUAGCCUACAAGAGGGACUAGUUUUUAGGGAUGGCAAACCUACCGCCUCAAAUCUUGAGGGUGUCGAAAUACUGUAUGGUAGUCGCCGGUACGUGGAGGCUGUCGUUGGCCUCUCGUCACGAAGUCCUCCAAAAGAUCUAUAGCCUUUACUCGGCAUGUGCUAGAGCCUACUUCCCCAUAAUGCUGACGUCCAUGUGCCUCCAAACCGUGCGUGAAAAGUCAACCAAAAGCACAGAAGAAAUGUUCCGGAUACUGUCCUACAUUAUACUUCUGUUUAUCGUGCAGAUAGCUUCGCUCAUGUGCCAGACAGGCAAGUUCCAAAAGGUUCUGGUACGAGUCGCGAGCGAGGAACGAUCCAUACUAAAUUCCUGCGACUGGAACCUGCUGCGAUUCCAUUCGCGGCGAGCACAAUUUUGCAGAACUUUCAACCUGAACAUUUUAUUCAGCACCAGCGGUGCGGUCGUUUGCAUCAUUCUGGAGAAUUGGUUCCUGCGACGCUCGAUCGACAGGCACAACGUCCUCUACAACGAGUCACAGGAUAAACCUUUUGCCAUAGGCCUGUAUAGCCAUUCUUUAGAUCGCGAGAGACACGCCACUCUCCUCGUUGCCAUAAACGAUCUUUGUCUUUGCAUGAAUACGUUCGCGGUGGUGUCUACCAAGAUCGUCUUUAUUUCCUGCAUGAUAUUCGCGCCAUCGAUGCUGAAAAAGUUGCAGAUUGAGUUCUCGAAGCUAAACCACAGGGACAGCGACGUGGUGAGCUGCUUGAAAAUGCUCGUCGUCGAUCACCAGGAGGUCGUCGGGUUCGUCGAGACUAUGAACGGGUCGGUGAAGUACCUGAUCCUUCUGGAGUACCUCUUGAACUCUCUCAAUUUCGCGGUGGUGUCGUUGCAGUUCAUUUCGUUUGAAACGAAGUUGCUGCCAUCGCCCAUACUUUUCUUUUACACCCUGCUGGUGCAAACGUUCGUGUUGGGCUGGAGCGCGAACGAGAUUCAAGUCCAGGGUACAAGAGAACGUCAGUUUGCAAGUUGUUACCCUUUGGAUUUUGAUGCUAGCGUGGUUCUUACAGAGCUUAGCCAUUGCCGAUGCCUUGUACGAAUCUUUAUGGUACGAGUACACUGAACGAGCGAAAAAAAUGCUGCUCAUCAUGAUGAUGCGGGCUCAGAAACCUUUGGCGCUGACGAUAGGGCCAUUCGACGCAAUGAAAACUGGAUCGGCUCUAGCAAUAAUGAAAGCUUCUUAUUCGUACGUCACGGUCAUGAUAGACGGUUGAGAAUUUCAACUUUACAGGCUUUGUGUAAUGGCGUAUUGAUUAAUAAAUGUGUAUUAAAAAAAGCUCUAUCAC
RNA transcript from Cylas formicarius (sweet potato weevil), 1447 nucleotides. It is a transcript of the gene named odorant receptor 30a-like, with no coding region annotated. The record is from RefSeq and is a predicted model, not a curated record. The transcript has 5 exons. Lineage: Eukaryota; Metazoa; Arthropoda; Insecta; Coleoptera; Brentidae.